Non-coding RNA from Caenorhabditis japonica, 274 nucleotides. The record is from Rfam. NCBI's taxonomy places the organism in Eukaryota, Metazoa, Nematoda, Chromadorea, Rhabditida, Rhabditidae.
CUUCCAUGUCCCGGGAUAGGGUAUUGUAAUUAUUACCCUUAAAACGAAGGAAUGCCUAGUAAGUGUGAAGUCAUCAGCUCACGUUGAUUACGUCCCUGCCCUUUGUACACACCGCCCGUCGCUAUCCGGGACUGAACUGAUUCGAGAAGAGUGGGGACUGUGGCUGCGAGGUUUUACCACUUCGCAGUUGCGGAAACCAUUUUUAUCGCAUUGGUUUGAACCGGGUAAAAGUCGUAACAAGGUAGCUGUAGGUGAACCUGCAGCUGGAUCAUCG